This 397-nucleotide ribosomal RNA is filed under the name uncultured bacterium. RNAcentral's name for it is "bacterial SSU rRNA". It matches the Rfam family "Bacterial small subunit ribosomal RNA", at positions 490 to 890 of the family's 1533-position model. The record is from RNAcentral.
GCACGGCUAACUACGUGCCAGCAGCCGCGGUAAUACGUAGGGUGCUAGCGUUAUCCGGAUUUACUGGGCGUAAAGGGUGCGUAGGUGGUCUUUCAAGUCGGUGGUUAAAGGCUACGGCUCAACCGUAUUAAGCCGCCGAAACUGGAAGACUUGAGUGCAGGAGAGGAAAGUGGAAUUCUCAGUGUAGCGGUGAAAUGCGUAGAUAUUGGGAAGAACACCAGUAGCGAAGGCGGCUUUCUGGACUGCAACUGACACUGAGGCACGAAAGCGUGGGUAGCAAACAGGAUUAGAUACCCUGGUAGUCCACGCCGUAAACGAUGAGUACUAGGUGUCGGGGGUUACCCCCUCGGUGCCGCAGUUAACGCAUUAAGUACUCCGCCUGGGGAGUACGCACGCA